Molecule: ribosomal RNA, 118 nt
Filed under: Salvator merianae (Argentine black and white tegu)
Lineage: Eukaryota; Metazoa; Chordata; Lepidosauria; Squamata; Teiidae
Source: RNAcentral
AGCUUCUGUAUUAUCAAGCUGCCCCUUGAUAAUCUCGUCUGAUCUCAGAAGCUAAGGAGGUUUGGGUCUAGUUGGCAUUUGGAUGGUAGAACACCUGAGAAGUUAGGUACAGUAUAUU